Molecule: ribosomal RNA, 1039 nt
Filed under: uncultured bacterium
Lineage: Bacteria
Description: bacterial SSU rRNA
Rfam family: Bacterial small subunit ribosomal RNA
Source: RNAcentral
GGAAAAAGGGCGGGCGGCUAACACAUGCAGUCGAGCGGAAACGAGUUAACUGAACCUUCGGGGAACGUUAACGGCGUCGAGCGGCGGACGGGUGAGUAAUGCCUGGGAAAUUGCCCUGAUGUGGGGGAUAACCAUUGGAAGCGAUGGCUAAUACCGCAUAAUAGCUUCGGCUCAAAGAGGGGGACCUUCGGGCCUCUCGCGUCAGGAUAUGCCCAGGUGGGAUUAGCUAGUUGGUGAGGUAAUGGCUCACCAAGGCGACGAUCCCUAGCUGGUCUGAGAGGAUGAUCAGCCACACUGGAACUGAGACACGGUCCAGACUCCUACGGGAGGCAGCAGUGGGGAAUAUUGCACAAUGGGCGCAAGCCUGAUGCAGCCAUGCCGCGUGUAUGAAGAAGGCCUUCGGGUUGUAAAGUACUUUCAGCAGUGAGGAAGGUGGGUAUGUUAAUAGCAUACACAUUUGACGUUAGCUGCAGAAGAAGCACCGGCUAACUCCGUGCCAGCAGCCGCGGUAAUACGGAGGGUGCGAGCGUUAAUCGGAAUUACUGGGCGUAAAGCGCAUGCAGGUGGUUUGUUAAGUCAGAUGUGAAAGCCCGGGGCUCAACCUCGGAAUUGCAUUUGAAACUGGCAAACUAGAGUACUGUAGAGGGGGGUAGAAUUUCAGGUGUAGCGGUGAAAUGCGUAGAGAUCUGAAGGAAUACCGGUGGCGAAGGCGGCCCCCUGGACAGAUACUGACACUCAGAUGCGAAAGCGUGGGGAGCAAACAGGAUUAGAUACCCUGGUAGUCCACGCCGUAAACGAUGUCUACUUGGAGGUUGUGGCCUUGAGCCGUGGCUUUCGGAGCUAACGCGUUAAGUAGACCGCCUGGGGAGUACGGUCGCAAGAUUAAAACUCAAAUGAAUUGACGGGGGCCCGCACAAGCGGUGGAGCAUGUGGUUUAAUUCGAUGCAACGCGAAGAACCUUACCUACUCUUGACAUCUACAGAAGCCAGCGGAAAACCCAGGUGUGCCUUCGGGAACUGUAAAAACAGGUGCUGCAUGG